Molecule: ribosomal RNA, 675 nt
Filed under: uncultured archaeon
Lineage: Archaea
Description: bacterial SSU rRNA
Rfam family: Archaeal small subunit ribosomal RNA
Source: RNAcentral
UUCCGGUUGAUCCCGCCGGAGGCCACUGCUAUUGGCUUCGACCUAAGCCAUGCGAGUCUAUGGACUUCGGUCCAUGGCGGACGGCUCAGUAACACGUGGCUAACCUACCCUCAGGUGGGGGAUAACCUCGGGAAACUGAGGGUAAUACCCCAUAGGGGAAGAGGUCUGGAAUGAUCCUUCCUUGAAAGGACAUCCGCCUGAGGAUGGGGCUGCGUCCGAUUAGGUAGUUGGUGGGGUAAUGGCCCACCAAGCCUACGACCGGUACGGGCCUUGAGAGAGGAAGCCCGGAGAUGGGGACUGAGACACGGCCCCAGCCCCUACGGGGCGCAGCAGGCGCGAAACCUCCACAAUGCACGAAAGUGCGAUGGGGGAACCCCAAGUGCCUAUGCACAGCAUAGGCUUUUCCCAAGUGUAAACAGCUUGGGGAAUAAGGGCUGGGCAAGUCCGGUGCCAGCAGCCGCGGUAACACCGGCGGCCCGAGUGGUGGCCACUCUUAUUGGGCCUAAAGCGUCCGUAGCCGGUCCAGUAAGUCCCUGUUUAAAUCCUACGGCUCAACCGUAGGGCUGGCAGGGAUACUGCUGGACUUGGGACCGGGAGAGGACGAGGGUACUCCAGGGGUAGCGGUGAAAUGUGUUGAUCCCUGGAGGACCACCUAUGGCGAAGGCACUCGUCUGG